Molecule: ribosomal RNA, 468 nt
Filed under: uncultured bacterium
Lineage: Bacteria
Description: partial 16S ribosomal RNA
Rfam family: Bacterial small subunit ribosomal RNA
Source: RNAcentral
GACGAACGCUGGCGGCGUGCUUAACACAUGCAAGUCGAACGGAAAGGCCCUGCUUUUGUGGGGUGCUCGAGUGGCGAACGGGUGAGUAACACGUGAGUAACCUGCCCUUGACUUUGGGAUAACUUCAGGAAACUGGGGCUAAUACCGGAUAGGAGCUCCUGCUGCAUGGUGGGGGUUGGAAAGUUUCGGCGGUUGGGGAUGGACUCGCGGCUUAUCAGCUUGCUGGUGGGGUAGUGGCUUACCAAGGCUUUGACGGGUAGCCGGCCUGAGAGGGUGACCGGCCACAUUGGGACUGAGAUACGGCCCAGACUCCUACGGGAGGCAGCAGUGGGGAAUAUUGCACAAUGGGCGGAAGCCGGAUGCAGCAACGCCGCGUGCGGGAUGACGGCCUUCGGGUUGUAAACCGCUUUCGCCUGGGACGAAGCGUGAGUGACGGUAAUGGGUAAAGAAGCACCGGCUAACUACGUG